GACGAACGCUGGCGGCGUGCUUAACACAUGCAAGUCGAACGGAAAGGCCCUGCUUUUGUGGGGUGCUCGAGUGGCGAACGGGUGAGUAACACGUGAGUAACCUGCCCUUGACUUUGGGAUAACUUCAGGAAACUGGGGCUAAUACCGGAUAGGAGCUCCUGCUGCAUGGUGGGGGUUGGAAAGUUUCGGCGGUUGUGGAUGGACUCGCGGCUUAUCAGCUUGUUGGUGGGGUAGUGGCUUACCAAGGCUUUGACGGGUAGCCGGCCUGAGAGGGUGACCGGCCACAUUGGGACUGAGAUACGGCCCAGACUCCUACGGGAGGCAGCAGUGGGGAAUAUUGCACAAUGGGCGGAAGCCUGAUGCGGCAACGCCGCGUGCGGGAUGACGGCCUGCGGGUUGUAAACCGCUUUCGCCUGUGACGAAGCGUGAGUGACGGUAAUGGGUAAAGAAGCACCGGCUAACUACGUG
RNAcentral lists this ribosomal RNA (468 nucleotides) under uncultured bacterium. RNAcentral describes it as "partial 16S ribosomal RNA". It matches the Rfam family "Bacterial small subunit ribosomal RNA", at positions 28 to 507 of the family's 1533-position model. The record is from RNAcentral.